AGGGCAUUAUAGGAGAGGAGUGAAUCCCAAGGCCAGAUCUCCAGCUCAAGGUGAACAGGCUCAAGCACUAAUGUGAAUGUGAGUAAAUGUCCCCAGGGAGUGCAUGUGGUGGUUGUGAGUCAGUCUGAGGUGGUUCUAGGUUUGUCUGCCCACUAAGAGUGUGCAAGAAUAAGCAUGAUUUAUUUCCACUGUAUGGUCAUACGGUAGAAAGAGCCCAGGACUUGGGUGUCUGAAGCAGAAAAUCCAAAUGGUUCCUUCACCCCAUGAUUGUGAAAAUAGUAAAAUAAAUAACUGACAACAUAUUGGUAUUUAUCUAUGUGCCAGAAUGUGCUGACUGCCUUGUCCUACGGGUGAAAGUUAGAAGCAGACCUUGUAGCGAUGAAGCAUAAAACUGACCAUGAAUGAUGACUGAAAUUUCUCAUGCAAAUCUCUGCAUUUGAUUGAAUAUGGGCAUUAGUGGAAUAGUCCAUUUGAUCUUUUAGCCAUUAGUGUAGGAGUAAUUUGUAUUUAUGUCACUCUUUAGAAGGAAAGUAGUCUUUCAAGUCUUCAAUGGCAGACUAGACCACAUCUAUUCAAUUUGAUGUAUUAAGUUCACCCAGUAGCUGGAAACAGUUCUGAUCAAAGGUGGGCUGUUUUUAUUCAACAUCCUUUAGCUCUGCCAAACUAUGCCCUGCGUCUGUGUGCCUGUGCAACUGUCUGGGUAUGUCUGCUACAAGACAAUCUCUCAUUACCUUUGCUAAGCUGGAUACCUGCAUCUAGGUGCAUCCCCAAGGUGGGUGGUGGGAGGGGGGGAAAUAUACAUGGAUAAAACCCUGAUUCAUUCUGGAGGUACAGGGGACAGAGUGCCCUAUUCUCUUGCAAAUGGUAGGGGUGAUUGAGGCCUUGGAAGGGGAGGGGAGAGUAGACAGCAGGUGCUUGAGGGGGGCUCCUACCUUUCAGCACUGCUUUUCCCCAAUGCUGGAUUAAAUUGGGAGCAAGGGUGAGACAUGGAGGAAAGACGGGUGAUUUCAGACUCAGGUUGGGUGUGGGCGGGGGGAGUGGACGUGUGGUUUUGCCCCAUGUUGGUGGGGGUGUGGCUUAUUGGGGGGGAAGGUUGGUUAUGUUUGGCAGAGGAUGGUGCCAAAAGAGGGGAAGGAGGGGCGGGCUCAGGGAUGGUGGGGGAGGGACACAGAGCUAUUUUUUCAAGCAGAUGUAAUAUAAUAAUUAUAAUAAUAAAAUUUAGAAAGUGAUGCUAUUUUUUCACAAAUCCCUCUUUUUCCCUCUUCCAGUUGCCACAGCAACAUUUUUAAAAGUCCUGUACUGGAGGCAUAAGGAUUUCCCACGGGGCCAAUCGAGGGAGAGAGGACCACUAAAAAUGUAGGGGGUGAAGGAAGAGUAUUAUUUUGCCAAAAAUAAUAAUAUGUAAGAGAAAGAUUUCUUUUGUGGUUUUCAAAGUGUUCUUCUCCCAAAUGUGAGUGAUCUUUCUUCUGCUCACACUGAGCAAAAAUAUUAAAUCAUGUCAGUUGCUCAAGAGAAACAAAACAAACAAACUUUUAUAAA
This is a long non-coding RNA of Podarcis raffonei (Aeolian wall lizard), 1539 nucleotides long. RefSeq lists it as uncharacterized. The transcript is spliced from 2 exons. The record is from RefSeq and is a predicted model, not a curated record. NCBI's taxonomy places the organism in Eukaryota, Metazoa, Chordata, Lepidosauria, Squamata, Lacertidae.